This 551-nucleotide ribosomal RNA is filed under the name uncultured Phialocephala. RNAcentral's name for it is "eukaryotic LSU rRNA". The stretch from base 205 to 358 matches the Rfam family "5.8S ribosomal RNA". Lineage: Eukaryota; Fungi; Ascomycota; Leotiomycetes; Helotiales. The record is from RNAcentral.
UCCGUAGGUGAACCUGCGGAAGGAUCAUUACAAGUGAGGCUACCGAACGUUGGAAACAGCGGUUAGGAGCUUACACCCACCCGUGUUUACAUACUAUUGUUGCUUUGGCGGGCCGUGGCCUCCACUGCGGGCUCUGCUCGUGUGUGCCCGCCAGAGGACCAAACUCUGAGUGUUAGUGAUGUCUGAGUACUAUCUAAUAGUUAAAACUUUCAACAACGGAUCUCUUGGUUCUGGCAUCGAUGAAGAACGCAGCGAAAUGCGAUAAGUAAUGUGAAUUGCAGAAUUCAGUGAAUCAUCGAAUCUUUGAACGCACAUUGCGCCCUGUGGUAUUCCGCAGGGCAUGCCUGUUCGAGCGUCAUUUAACCACUCACGCCUAGCGUGGUAUUGGGGCACGCGGUCUCGCGGCCCUCAAAAUUAGUGGCGGCGCCGGUGGGCUCUAGGCGUAGUACAUACUCCCGCUAUAGAGUUCCCCCGGUGGCUCGCCAGAACCCCCAAUUUUUUACAGGUUGACCUCGGAUCAGGUAGGGAUACCCGCUGAACUUAAGCAUAUC